GUGACAUGCUCCAAAGUGCUGCCAGACACGCUCCUCACCCGUUGGACCGAGACCGUCGAGACCGUUCCCACGGUGCCGCGGGAGGCUGUGACCACACCUGUGACCCGCUCGCUGUCCGCCCGUCCUCCAGCCGAAACCAGCUGAAUCACCAACCACUUCGACCACAGUGAAACAGCAGAAGGAUGGUAUAGACUCGUCCUGCAGCCCCCCUCUUUACCAGGCCCAGAGCGUCACAAGCUUCCACACAGCGCCCUCUAGUGGAGCCCUGCCGCCGGUGCAGCCUGCCACCAUGGAUCUGGUCAACAACCGAGGCCUGAACCUCAUGCUCAACUUCAUGCUCAUCGUGGUGGUCCUGCUCCUCAUGCUCAUCCUGGUCAAGCUCCUGUGAGCCGGACCCCGCCCUCAAACCACUGUCAUGACUUAACUCGGCCAAUGAGAGCCGGGAAGCACGGAUAACACAGCCCGCCAGCAGGGGGAGCUGCACGGAUUCAAACACUGUGAGGCCGGGUGCGCUGCCUGAAGCGAAGAAGAACCUCGGGAAUGGCUUUGCAGGAUGUGUGGGCACUUACUGAACCCCGUAGGGAGGUAAUAUUAGGUAGCUUUGGUUUGAUAAAAUAAACAAUCACCCUCAACAAAAUUUUACUUCUUCACAUUAACUGAGAUCAGAGAUUAAAAGAGUUUGCAAUGAACAACCUGUAAGCCUUGGUGACAGCAUUAACAUAUAAUUAUAUAAACCCAAGCGAUUUUAUUCACAGCUGCAUCAACAGUGUUUUCAAACUGAAGAGCAUAUCCCCAAUGCUAGUGACUCCAUCUAGUGGUAAAGAGGUUACCUACAUGAAAUUAUUUUUUGUCCUUUGAUUAAAUGACUUCCCUGUCACAUCUGUUCUAAAUAAUUUGGUGUAAAUAAGAUCAAUUUUAUCAAGUCAGACCCUUUGCUGUAUGUUGGUUUUCCGUCCUCAAAUCGAACACUUUGAGAGAAAUGACACCUUGAUGUAAAUGCUAACCAAAAGUCAUAGAAGCAGCAGUAUAAAUAGCAACAAAACCAAAUUAGCAUUUAUCACAGAUGUAGCAUAAUGGCUGUACAGUGUACAGUCUUCUGUGGUGGUGUCCAAGUGAUAACAGAGGCACCAAUGCUAUAAGACAGCCUCGCGCUGUUUGAUCCUUCAUGGAAAUGUGUGCAGUGGAUAUACUCAAUCACAACUGUCACAGUAUUUAUAGUCACUGGGGAAAAUAUUUUUUUAGCACACCAAGUCCACUGUCCUUUUCAUUGCUUUGUAUAUUCGUGUGUGAAUAACUGUUCUUCAGCUCUAUUAACAUGUUCAUAUGUCUUGAGAAAUGAGGUGCCUGUACCUUCGUAAUGUUUCUGAGACAUGAAUAAAUGCUGUAGUCCUCUGGGAAAAUAAUAAUUGAAAAUAAUUUGUAAUAGCUAUGAGGCCAACAUUUCUAAUGUUCAGUACAUUAGAACUUCCAUUCAACUCAAUUUUUCUUCCAAUCCAAACGACAUAAUGACACUAUCAGACCACUGAAAUCGACUCAGGUCAGCCAGGUAAUGCUCUCCUUAAAAUCACCCUGCACCUUGUUUUAUAUAAACAGUUACAUGUAUAUCAGGCACUGAUAAGUUCUUGUUGUGUUUGUGAUAUCCAUUUCAGUUUUUGCACAAUGUAUUUUGAAGAUCUGCUCCAGAGUAUUAGGAGAAAUAAAUUUCAGCUAUAAAAACAUUAAAAA
Molecule: RNA transcript, 1725 nt
Organism: Conger conger (European conger)
Lineage: Eukaryota; Metazoa; Chordata; Actinopteri; Anguilliformes; Congridae
Gene: pln1
Gene name: phospholamban
Exons: 2
Source: RefSeq, a predicted model, not a curated record